This is a long non-coding RNA of Papaver somniferum (opium poppy), 304 nucleotides long. RefSeq lists it as uncharacterized. The transcript is spliced from 2 exons. The record is from RefSeq and is a predicted model, not a curated record. NCBI's taxonomy places the organism in Eukaryota, Viridiplantae, Streptophyta, Magnoliopsida, Ranunculales, Papaveraceae.
GGGGAACUUCUACGAGCGCAUUGUUCAAUACGUUAUGAAGAUUGGAGGAUUGUCCCGGAAAACUUCAAGGAGAAUGUAUGGAAUGGCUUAAUGAGCGAGUUUGAGUUUAAUGCUCCUUCAUACUUGGUACGCCCGAACCUCGAAGUAGCCUUUUCACAGAAGUUCAGAUCAUUCAAAUACCAGCUUCGACAGAAUUAUUUCAGGAUAGACAAAGGUAACGAACAAAUUGAAGCAGCUAUUCAAGCUGGUUUGGAUCCAAAUGCGUGGAAAAGCAAGGAGCAAAUUCUAGCAGAGGUACCGGUGG